Molecule: ribosomal RNA, 387 nt
Filed under: uncultured bacterium
Lineage: Bacteria
Description: bacterial SSU rRNA
Rfam family: Bacterial small subunit ribosomal RNA
Source: RNAcentral
GACGAACGCUGGCGGCGUGCUUAACACAUGCAAGUCGAGCGGUAAGGCCCUUUCGGGGGUACACGAGCGGCGAACGGGUGAGUAACACGUGGGUGACCCGCCCUCAGCUCUGGGAUAAGCCUGGGAAACCGGGUCUAAUACCGGAUAUGACUCCAUGACGCAUGUUGUGGGGUGGAAAGCCUUGUGCGGCUGAGGAUGGGCCCGCGGCCUAUCAGCUUGUUGGUGGGGUGAUGGCCACCAAGGCGACGACGGGUAGCCGGCCUGAGAGGGCGACCGGCCACACUGGGACUGAGACACGGCCCAGACUCCUACGGGAGGCAGCAGUGGGGAAUCUUGCGCAAUGGGCGAAAGCCUGACGCAGCGACGCCGCGUGAGGGAUGACGGCCU